GACUCUGUAGUGAAGUUCAUGUUGAGUUGCAAACUCAUUGAUAUGUGCUCGGAGCACAUCAGAGUCU
RNAcentral lists this transfer RNA (67 nucleotides) under Ara severus (chestnut-fronted macaw). RNAcentral describes it as "tRNA-Cys". Lineage: Eukaryota; Metazoa; Chordata; Aves; Psittaciformes; Psittacidae. The record is from RNAcentral.